This 107-nucleotide ribosomal RNA is filed under the name Pteropus alecto (black flying fox). The record is from RNAcentral. Lineage: Eukaryota; Metazoa; Chordata; Mammalia; Chiroptera; Pteropodidae.
GUCUAUGGCCAUGCCACCCUGAACAAGCCCAAUAUCUGAUCUUGGCAGCUAAGCAGAGUUGGGCCUGGUUAGUACUUGGAUGGGAGAUCACCUAGGUGCUAUAGGCA